This 191-nucleotide ribosomal RNA is filed under the name uncultured bacterium. RNAcentral's name for it is "partial 16S ribosomal RNA". It matches the Rfam family "Bacterial small subunit ribosomal RNA", at positions 1310 to 1500 of the family's 1533-position model. The record is from RNAcentral.
AUUCGCCUUCAUGAAGCCGGAAUUGCUAGUAAUGGCAGGUCAGCAUACUGCCGUGAAUACGUUCCCGGGGCCCUUGUACACACCGCCCGUCACACCAUGAGAGUUGGGAAUACCCGAAGCCUGUGAGCCAACGUAAGAGGCAGCAGUCGAAGGUAGAAUCAAUGAUUGGGGUGAAGUCGUAACAAGGUACC